GGGCUCGUAGUCGAGUGGUAAGACGUCUCUUUCACAGAGAGAAGACCCGGAGUCCGAUUCUCCGCGGGCCCA
RNAcentral lists this transfer RNA (72 nucleotides) under Microcaldota archaeon. RNAcentral describes it as "tRNA-Val". It matches the Rfam family "tRNA". Rfam says of the family: Transfer RNA (tRNA) molecules are approximately 80 nucleotides in length. Their secondary structure includes four short double-helical elements and three loops (D, anti-codon, and T loops). The record is from RNAcentral. Lineage: Archaea; Nanobdellati; Microcaldota.